This is a non-coding RNA of Macaca mulatta (Rhesus monkey), 690 nucleotides long. Lineage: Eukaryota; Metazoa; Chordata; Mammalia; Primates; Cercopithecidae. The record is from RefSeq and is a predicted model, not a curated record.
AAGAUUUAAUGGCCACCAGUCAGGGGUAGGAAGAAGAAAAAUGAAUUGGAAUUGAGUGCCAACAGAAGAAUAAACUAUCUGUUUCAAGACUCGGUGGUGGUGUGGCAGGGAUGCAGUACAUAUUUUGUUGUAAGAGCCAGAGGUAUUUGUUUCGCUUACAAAUCACAUCUACAGACAGGCAGUUUCCUAUGUUGGUGCCGGGGUUCCUGAAGGGGAUCGGAUCUCAGGAGAUGACUCUGCACACAGUGAAGCUGGCACUCGUCAUCCUAAGUUAAAAGCAACGAGUGGUGCCUCUACAGCCUGGCAUUGAGCCAGAUGAGACAUUCAAGGCAAAGUCAUCAUAUAAGUAGCAGUUACACACUUCAAAAACAAGACUUUGGGUGCAAGGCUAUGCCCCUAAGAAAACAAGAUCUUAAUUCAUGGAGAGAGAAAUAUAUUUUCACAGUAGCAUACGGACAGACUAUAAGUUGAGGGGAUCACUUUUCUUCAACAAAAAAGGAAGUUUGGGCAUAGGAGACCUCAAACCCUGGAAAAGAGUAAGUGUCCAGCUGUUCGGGGAUACUAUCUGGCCAGCGGGAGAUCCUCCCAGAGAGACUCUGUAUGUUUAUGCCACAUUUCACUUACUUUUGAAAACCUAUGUGAACAUGAAGAAAACUGCCUUAUUUCCACAUUAAAAUCUUCAUCAUUUGU